AACGCGAAGAACCUUACCUGGGCUCGAAAUGUUAUGGACCGGAGUAGAAAUAUUCCUUCCCAGCAAUGGGCCGUAAUAUAGGUGCUGCAUGGCUGUCGUCAGCUCGUGUCGUGAGAUGUUGGGUUAAGUCCCGCAACGAGCGCAACCCUUACUUCCAGUUGCCAUCAUUUAGUUGGGCACUCUGGCAGAACCGCCUCGGAUAACGGGGAGGAAGGUGGGGAUGACGUCAAGUCCUCAUGGCCUUUAUGUCCAGGGCUACACACGUGCUACAAUGGCCGGUACAAACCGUCGCAAACCCGCGAGGGGGAGCUAAUCGGAGAAAGCCGGCCUCAGUUCGGAUCGCAGUCUGCAACUCGACUGCGUGAAGCUGGAAUCGCUAGUAAUCGUGGAUCAGAAUGCCACGGUGAAUACGUUCCCGGGCCUUGUACACACCGUAGUAC
This 440-nucleotide ribosomal RNA is filed under the name uncultured bacterium. Its description in RNAcentral is "bacterial SSU rRNA". It matches the Rfam family "Bacterial small subunit ribosomal RNA", at positions 958 to 1398 of the family's 1533-position model. The record is from RNAcentral.